Long non-coding RNA from Xenopus laevis (African clawed frog), 681 nucleotides. RefSeq lists it as uncharacterized. NCBI's taxonomy places the organism in Eukaryota, Metazoa, Chordata, Amphibia, Anura, Pipidae. The transcript is spliced from 2 exons. The record is from RefSeq and is a predicted model, not a curated record.
GUUUGACGCUACAGACGUGACGACGCCAUAGCGGGAGUGCACAAAGCUACUUGUGAAAGCAGUGACCAGCCAUGUAACACAUCAGCUUAUUGUCCACUCACACAUCCACAGGGAGUAGAGACGCUUGACAGUGGUCCGAUGAAGGUCUGGGAUGUCAUUCUCAAAAUCUUGGUGGAAACAUGGCUUCAGCGGUAUAAAGCGAGGAAGCGGAGGGAAGUUGUUUUCUUUUUCUUAGGAAAGUAAUAAAAUUAAAAAGAUUGGAAUUCUACAGCAGGCAAGAAAUAACUACACUACUAGGACAAGACACCAAAGUACAAGGGAAGAUAGACCAAAGAUAUGCAAAAGAUUGGGAUAAAAAUCUAAUUAACCCAUGUAACAGAUUUCAGUCAUAGAGGCCCAAUCAUGUAAGGUCAUAAAUUUCAGCCUAUUUGACCAACUUGUCUGAAAAAUCUUCAUGUGGACAGCAUAUGUUGGACAUCGUGCUUACAAGUAAUUUCUGUGUGAUUGCCUUUGGACUGACUGCUCAUAUGAAUACCAUGGAAAUUGCUACCACGGAGUUCUAAAUAAGUCUCACGUGGAUUCCAUGUUUGCAUCCGCAUCAGAUCUGGUUUUUCCAGUCUGAUAAUAUUUGCAGUGUGCUGUUAUUUUACUGUAAAUAAAAUGGGAACCUGUUUUUUUUUA